This 704-nucleotide ribosomal RNA is filed under the name Ilyarachna longicornis. RNAcentral's name for it is "partial large subunit ribosomal RNA". It matches the Rfam family "Eukaryotic large subunit ribosomal RNA", at positions 355 to 819 of the family's 3401-position model. The record is from RNAcentral. Lineage: Eukaryota; Metazoa; Arthropoda; Malacostraca; Isopoda; Munnopsidae.
GAGGGAAAGUUGAAAAGGACUCUGAAGAGAGGGUUCAAGAGAGCGUGAAACUGCCACGGGGAUAAAGCGGAUACAUUAGCGUAGUCGAUAGGGGAGAUACAGCUCGUCGGCCGUCGACCUCUAGGUGUCCUCGUCCGAUGGGAAUUGCAACCCGAACUUUCGGUCGACUCGCUUUCGGGCUUGUUUUCUCGGGAUUCGGUUCUUUGGUUCCUUACGGUCGAGCGCCUACGUAAAGCGUACGUUCACCGACGAGUCUAAUUCACACCCGUGUAGGCCGCCGCGACGGUCGGAAGGUUGUCGAAGGCUAUUUCGAGAUCUCGGGAACCCGUCGUUUGCGCGUACUCGAGAAUUCGCGUUCUCGAGCGUGUCGACGACGGGGGACGGUCUUAUAGAAUUUACUGACGGACUUUCCGACCGGAGAAAUAGACGUUGUUAGCGAUUUUAUUAUCGCGAAAACGUAAGUGCGGCGCUCGUAGCGAACAAUUUAUCCGUCCCGUCUUGAAACACGGACCAAGGAGUCUAACAUGUACGCGAGUCAAAGGGCUUACUAAACCCUCAGGCGUAAUGAAAGUAAAUCGGGAUUGAUCCGCGCUCUUUUUUAUUAAAGACCGGCGCAAAUCCGGGACCCGUCUUACUGCUUUAUUAGCUUCGCGGCUUUUAUCGUUCACGUGGCGGGUACCUCGAGCGUACAUGUUGGGACCCCA